Molecule: long non-coding RNA, 926 nt
Organism: Lathyrus oleraceus (garden pea)
Lineage: Eukaryota; Viridiplantae; Streptophyta; Magnoliopsida; Fabales; Fabaceae
Exons: 4
Source: RefSeq, a predicted model, not a curated record
UUCAUAAAUUUCUCCAUUUUUAUUCCCAUGUCAAAUGAUGGGAAUCUUAUAUUCCCAUGGGAAUAUAAAAUAACCAACCAUAACUUCCCACUCUCAUGUUAUUUUAACACAUUUAUUUUUAAUUUUUUAAUUUUUAAAAUUUAAUUAAAUAAAACUUAAAAAUAUUCCUAGGAACUUUAUUGAUUUUGCCAAACACAUUGAUGGGAAUAAAGUUCCUGGCAAUACUAUUCCUAGGAAUGAUAUUCCCGGGAUUAUAAUUUUAAUCCAUCAAACAAACACACCCUAUGUGUUUUGUGUCUUACUUUUUUUUCGAAAAUGAUAUCUUCUUUCUUCCACUGCCUUUGUCUUCCGAUUCUUCUUUCUUCUCUUCUUCAACAAAAAUAAUCGGGUUGUGGGACAAUUUACAGAAAUAUAGAAAUCAAAGUUUUUUAGGGUUUAUGCUCUAUUGUUUUGACCUAAGAUUGUUGGUGUUGCAUGAAUGGGGAAGAUGGCGGCGACUAUGAUGUUUCCGGCGAUUUUAUAGCGAUAUGUGGUAUCGCGGUGGUAGAUCUGUGGUGGAUCUUGGUAAAAAAAGGGACUUGAGUAUUGCAGGAAGCACAUUUAUAUGCAGCGGAAUAUGGUUCGUGUGUCACGAAAACAUCUGCCAAAUCUGCAGCCAUUGUUAAUGAAGUGUUUUAUGAAAUUGGUGAUAAUUUAAGGAAGAAAUCUAUAAUGAUUUGGGAAGAGAAGAUGGGAUUCCCUAUGGCUGCUCAGAAGUUGUUAUGAAAGAUGCUGCUAAAAUCUUGGAAAAGUUUAGUUGUCUCAUGAGGUAAGAAUAAUUUCAGCACAUCGAACUAUGGAUGUGAUGUUUCAUUAUGCAUCGUCUUCUCAUAAACAAGGCAUUCAAUGUAUCAUUGUUGGUACUGGUGGUGCAACUUACUUUCCUG